This 837-nucleotide ribosomal RNA is filed under the name uncultured bacterium. Its description in RNAcentral is "bacterial SSU rRNA". It matches the Rfam family "Bacterial small subunit ribosomal RNA", at positions 8 to 894 of the family's 1533-position model. The record is from RNAcentral.
AGAGUUUGAUCCUGGCUCAGAACGUACGCUGGCGGCACGCCUAACACAUGCAAGUCGAACGAAGUAGCAAUACUUAGUGGCAGACGGGUGAGUAACAUGUGGGUAUCUACCCUUUGGCCUGGAAUAACACGAGGAAACUUGUGCUAAUACCGGAUAAGUCUUUACGGAGAAAGCUUUAUGCACCAUUGGAUGAGCCCGCACUUGAUUAGUUUGUUGGUAGGGUAAUGGCCUACCAAGACUAUGAUCAAUAGCUGAUUUGAGAGGAUGAUCAGCCACAUUGGGACUGAGACACGGCCCAAACUCCUACGGGAGGCAGCAGUGGGGAAUCUUGCACAAUGGAGGAAACUCUGAUGCAGCGAUGCCGCGUGAGUGAAGAAGGCCUUUGGGUUGUAAAGCUCUUUCGUCGGGGAAGAAAAUGACUGUACCCGAAUAAGAAGGUCCGGCUAACUUCGUGCCAGCAGCCGCGGUAAUACGAAGGGACCUAGCGUAGUUCGGAAUUACUGGGCUUAAAGAGUUCGUAGGUGGUUGAAAAAGUUGGUGGUGAAAUCCCAGAGCUUAACUCUGGAACUGCCAUCAAAACUUUUCAGCUAGAGUAUGAUAGAGGAAAGCAGAAUUUCUAGUGUAGAGGUGAAAUUCGUAGAUAUUAGAAAGAAUACCAAUUGCGAAGGCAGCUUUCUGGAUCAUUACUGACACUGAGGAACGAAAGCAUGGGUAGCGAAGAGGAUUAGAUACCCUCGUAGUCCAUGCCGUAAACGAUGUGUGUUAGACGUUGGAAAUUUAUUUUCAGUGUCGCAGGAAACCGAUAAACACACCGCCUGGGGAGUACGACCGCAAGGU